UAGUCCACGCCGUAAACGAUGGUCACUAGCUGUUCGGACUUCGGUCUGAGUGGCUAAGCGAAAGUGAUAAGUGACCCACCUGGGGAGUACGUUCGCAAGAAUGAAACUCAAAGGAAUUGACGGGGGCCCGCACAAGCGGUGGAGCAUGUGGUUUAAUUCGAUGAUACGCGAGGAACCUUACCAGGGCUUAAAUGUAAGUUGCAUUAGCUAGAGAUAGUUAUUUCUUCGGGACUACUUACAAGGUGCUGCAUGGUUGUCGUCAGCUCGUGCCGUGAGGUGUCAGGUUAAGUCCUAUAACGAGCGCAACCCCUAUCUUUACGUUGCCAGCACAUUAUGGUGGGGACUCUAAAGAGACUGCCGGCGUAAGCCGCGAGGAAGGUGGGGAUGACGUCAAAUCAUCAUGGCCUUUAUGCCCAGGGCUACACACGUGCUACAAUGGACAGGACAGAGGGUCGCCGAAAGCCCGACGAGGUGGAGCUAAUCCCAGAAACCUGUUCUCAGUUCGGAUUG
This 510-nucleotide ribosomal RNA is filed under the name uncultured bacterium. RNAcentral describes it as "bacterial SSU rRNA". It matches the Rfam family "Bacterial small subunit ribosomal RNA", at positions 791 to 1300 of the family's 1533-position model. The record is from RNAcentral.